UACGUAGGUGGCAAGCGUUGUCCGGAAUUACUGGGUGUAAAGCGCGUGUAGGCGGGAGGCCAAGUCUGCUGUGAAAUCGCCCGGCUCAACUGGGCGGGGUCGGUGGAAACUGGUCACCUGGAGGACGGUAGAGGCGAGUGGAAUUCCCGGUGUAGUGGUGAAAUGCGUAGAGAUCGGGAGGAACACCAGUGGCGAAGGCGACUUUCUGGUCUGUAACUGACACUGAGGCGCGAAAGCGUGGGUAGCAAACAGG
RNAcentral lists this ribosomal RNA (253 nucleotides) under uncultured bacterium. Its description in RNAcentral is "partial 16S ribosomal RNA". It matches the Rfam family "Bacterial small subunit ribosomal RNA", at positions 524 to 776 of the family's 1533-position model. The record is from RNAcentral.